GAAGAAGAAGAAGAAGAAGAAGAAGAGAGCCUUGCAAGAGGGCUACUGAAUAGCCCUGUAAAGAAUUUGGUUAUUCUCCUGUGUAGGAGUAUCUACAUAUUACUUUCACUUGAAGAAACUUCAAGUAUAUCUGUCGUUCACUUGGCUGGGGACAAGUCUCUGAGAUGCACCAAGAUGUACAGAUCCUCUGGGCAGAAUGUGAACAACCAGUUUGGAAAGCAGCAUCACACAGCGUCAAGUGAGCGUGACGCAUGCUCUGCUCUGCUGAGGCCCACAGAACAUAUGUUGAUGUACGGGCUGGGAGCCCUCUGUUCCUCUUCUCUACACGGCCAGCAGACAUCGCCUUCCUCUGUGCGUGCUGGCACUCUGGCCCUCGUCUUCGAGGGUGUGGUGACGUGGAGGCGAUGACGGAGCCAAGGCUUCUGAAGCACAUAUCUUCAGAGAGCUGCUGCUCACAGGAGAAGUUAAUAUACAUCAGGUAAAUCUGCGGCUGUAAAUGAAACCUUGGGACUCUUCCUCAGCCGUGACUAAUCCUGUGCACACUGUGACUCAGCUGGUGAAGCAUUUAUCAGGAGAGCUCCCAGAGCACUCAGCUAUAAGCCUGUAAAUAAAAAUAUCUUGUCUUCUUGUAGCA
RNAcentral lists this long non-coding RNA (634 nucleotides) under Cyanistes caeruleus (blue tit). Its description in RNAcentral is "lncRNA (ENSCCEG00000011292.1)". The record is from RNAcentral. Lineage: Eukaryota; Metazoa; Chordata; Aves; Passeriformes; Paridae.